This is a long non-coding RNA of Ailuropoda melanoleuca (giant panda), 363 nucleotides long. RefSeq lists it as uncharacterized. The transcript is spliced from 2 exons. Lineage: Eukaryota; Metazoa; Chordata; Mammalia; Carnivora; Ursidae. The record is from RefSeq and is a predicted model, not a curated record.
GGAUAAAGCAGAAGACCGUGGAAGGCAUUCUGUCAUCCAGAAGGGCUCAGGACCCCUCAGAAAUCAGGAGGCCAUUGCUGAACACAGCCCGCUCCUUUUACAGAUGGGAAGACUAAGGCCGAAGCGAGGGCAGACAAGGGUGUAGCAAUGCUGCGGAAGCCCAAGAGAAGGAGGAUUUUGGGAGAAAGACAUGGGCCAGUGGCGGGUCCGUGAGGUGGGAAAUCAGCCAUGAACACGGAAGGGGGUAUUGAAGAAGCGUGUUUUCCCACACGGAAGCAGAUGUCUGUGACGGAAAACCCCGAAGGGAAGAACACGUCUUUUGGAGUCAGACCGAGGUUCAGAUCCUGGCUCCAUUAUUUUCUA